This is an RNA transcript of Musa acuminata AAA Group (dessert banana), 1730 nucleotides long. It is a transcript of the gene named large ribosomal subunit protein bL9c-like, with no coding region annotated. The transcript has 8 exons. The record is from RefSeq and is a predicted model, not a curated record. NCBI's taxonomy places the organism in Eukaryota, Viridiplantae, Streptophyta, Magnoliopsida, Zingiberales, Musaceae.
AAGACGCGAGCCAGAGCGAAGACAGAGAGGAAUAGAAGGUACCGCAAUGGCUUCAACCUUAUCAUGGGGCUCGGCCUGCUGCCCGCGGCCGCAUCGAGUCGGCGGAGGCGCGCGAAACGAGGGGCCGAGGAAUCCCAUCGAGGCCGGGAGGGUGAUGCCGAUACUCGCUCAGAAGAAAGCCAAGAAGAUCCGCAAGAUCAUCCUCAAGGAGGACGUCACGGAGCUGGGGAAGAAGGGGGAUCUCCUUGACGUGAAAGCCGGGUACUACCGCAACUUCCUGCUACCCACGGGCAGGGCUCAGCUCGUCACCCCUCUCUUGCUCAAGGAAAUGCGGAUCGAGGAGGAGAGAAUUGAGGCUGAGAAACAGCGGGUGAAAGAAGAAGCACAACAGCUUGCGCUGAUUUUCCAGACAGUUGGAGCUUUCAAGGUGAAACGCAAAGGUGGAAAAGGAAAACAAAUAUUUGGAACUGUUACUGCCCAAGACCUUGUGGACAUCAUAAAGGCACAACUAAACCGGGAUGUUGACAAAAGAAUCGUCACUCUUCCUGAGAUCCGUGAGACGGGGGAAUACAUAGCUGAGCUAAAGCUUCAUCCGGAAGUCUCCGCCGUAGUGAGAUUGAAUGUUUAUGCAAAUUAGCACCUUCAAUCUCACCGGAGACAGGGAGGAAAGCCCAUCCUUCAAAGAUGAAGUUGCAGAAGAACAGAUGGGGGUUCACAUGGAAGAGAGAUGCAUAAUCCUACCGAGGUGACCAGUAUCAAAUUCAGAUUAUUCAAUCCGAGCCACAUUUUGUUGAGCAGUAAUGUUUUCAACAGAUUUCCUGCAUUUUCUGUAUCCGAAAGCGCCGACCAUAAUGGUGGACGUGGAGACCAUGUCACGGUUUGCAAGAGGGAAGCUCAAAUCGUAGACGUCGGAAUUGCACCUGACAGCGAACCGCGCGAGUUUUGGGAUCAGGUAUUGGUUUGACCGGAUGGUCAACGUACUAUAUUUAAUUUUUUUUAAUUCAAAAAUAAGAUAUAAUUUUAUGUAUUACACUAAGAAUUUAAAAUAUAUGAAUAAUAUUAUGAAAAUAUAGUGACGGAAGCAGACAUGGUAUUCAAGAUUGAAACAGUUUAACAGUGAAUUAAACCGAGGUUAGCUAAAUCGGAUAUUUAUUGGUUCUUGGGUUGUAAUGUAGGCAUUCUUGUUCACUUUCAUGUGUACAUAUGAUGGCAAACAAGGCGAGGAGAGAAGAAGAGAGCGGUAAAAAGAAAUAAAAUAUGAAAGAAUAAAUGAGAAUUUUUUCUCUCUCUCUAAAGAGAUAACUAUGAAUUAAUAAUUUCAAAUGUAAAAGUUUAAUAAGAUUUUAAAAAUAAAAAUCUCCAUCAAUCUUUAUUCCUUUUCCAUUUAUAGAUCCUUUGUACGUUGAAUGAUUGAAAGUCAAGCAUAAAACAUAAUACAUAUUAAAUUCAUAAUGUAUUGUUCUUUGCUAUUUUAAAUUUUUAUAAUUAUUUCGAAUAAUUUUCUUAAAAUUUGAUAGAAUUGGAGAAGAACUCGCCCAUGAGUGGUAAACUAAUAAAUCUUGAAUGUUAUCAUUGUAAACUAAUAAAUCUUGAAUGUUAAAAAUGAAGUGAGUACGAAUAUUAGGAGCAAGUUCAGUCCUGUAAGUAUCGUCAUUAAUUCUUUGUAAGUUUUUACUACAAAAUAUUUUUUUUCAAAAAUAUCCAAACAAGAUCUCCUUCGAUGAUCAUCA